Molecule: ribosomal RNA, 1013 nt
Filed under: Pediococcus pentosaceus
Lineage: Bacteria; Bacillati; Bacillota; Bacilli; Lactobacillales; Lactobacillaceae
Description: bacterial SSU rRNA
Rfam family: Bacterial small subunit ribosomal RNA
Source: RNAcentral
GGAUGGACCCGCGGCGUAUUAGCUAGUUGGUGAGGUAAAGGCUCACCAAGGCAGUGAUACGUAGCCGACCUGAGAGGGUAAUCGGCCACAUUGGGACUGAGACACGGCCCAGACUCCUACGGGAGGCAGCAGUAGGGAAUCUUCCACAAUGGACGCAAGUCUGAUGGAGCAACGCCGCGUGAGUGAAGAAGGGUUUCGGCUCGUAAAGCUCUGUUGUUAAAGAAGAACGUGGGUAAGAGUAACUGUUUACCCAGUGACGGUAUUUAACCAGAAAGCCACGGCUAACUACGUGCCAGCAGCCGCGGUAAUACGUAGGUGGCAAGCGUUAUCCGGAUUUAUUGGGCGUAAAGCGAGCGCAGGCGGUCUUUUAAGUCUAAUGUGAAAGCCUUCGGCUCAACCGAAGAAGUGCAUUGGAAACUGGGAGACUUGAGUGCAGAAGAGGACAGUGGAACUCCAUGUGUAGCGGUGAAAUGCGUAGAUAUAUGGAAGAACACCAGUGGCGAAGGCGGCUGUCUGGUCUGCAACUGACGCUGAGGCUCGAAAGCAUGGGUAGCGAACAGGAUUAGAUACCCUGGUAGUCCAUGCCGUAAACGAUGAUUACUAAGUGUUGGAGGGUUUCCGCCCUUCAGUGCUGCAGCUAACGCAUUAAGUAAUCCGCCUGGGGAGUACGACCGCAAGGUUGAAACUCAAAAGAAUUGACGGGGGCCCGCACAAGCGGUGGAGCAUGUGGUUUAAUUCGAAGCUACGCGAAGAACCUUACCAGGUCUUGACAUCUUCUGACAGUCUAAGAGAUUAGAGGUUCCCUUCGGGGACAGAAUGACAGGUGGUGCAUGGUUGUCGUCAGCUCGUGUCGUGAGAUGUUGGGUUAAGUCCCGCAACGAGCGCAACCCUUAUUACUAGUUGCCAGCAUUAAGUUGGGCACUCUAGUGAGACUGCCGGUGACAAACCGGAGGAAGGUGGGGACGACGUCAAAUCAUCAUGCCCCUUAUGACCUGGGCUACACACGUGCUACA